RNAcentral lists this long non-coding RNA (467 nucleotides) under Phoenix dactylifera (date palm). RNAcentral describes it as "long non-coding RNA (PDAC_LNC013571)". The record is from RNAcentral. Lineage: Eukaryota; Viridiplantae; Streptophyta; Magnoliopsida; Arecales; Arecaceae.
UUUCAUACGUCCAUUUUAGCACUACCAGAAUGCAAUCUAGAUGGAAUAAGUUCGAACCGUCAGAAUUUGCAUGAGGACUAGAGAGAUCUAAUUAAAGCUAGAUCAAAUGUACGUGCAUACAUAGUGUACUGGAACUAGCAAUCACUAAUAAUUCAAAUAAAUCAGAUUAAGUGACGGUAUCCUUUUGAUUAUUCUAGGGUGGUUAUUUAAAUACUAUGAAGGAUAGAUCGAAGAGAACAGAACGAUGUUAGGGUUUUGGAGGAAUAAAUUGAACAAAGAAGAAUAGUACCAACUCCCGCGAUGAGGCAGGAGGCCGCGACAACGGGUUCUUGGACCACGAAUAUCUUGAGCUUCUCCAUCACCGCCAUCGCUCUUUCUCACUCACUCGAUCGCUCCGCGAUCGCCUUCGGCCCCUGCUUCUUCUCCGUCUCGCUCCCUUUUAAGAGCUCGCGGUGCGAUUGUUCCGC